AGAGUUUGAUCAUGGCUCAGAACGAACGCUGGCGGCGUGCUUAACACAUGCAAGUCGUACGAGAAACCGGAACUUCGGUUCUGGGAGUAAAGUGGCGCACGGGUGAGUAACGCGUAGGUAAUCUACCCUUGGGUUUGGAAUAACCCGCCGAAAGGCGGACUAAUACCGGAUAAAAUCUUUCGGAGGGAUCUGAAAGAUCAAAGGUGGCCUCUCCAUGGAUGCUACUGCCUGAGGAUGAGCCUGCGUCCCAUUAGCUUGUUGGUAGGGUAAUGGCCUACCAAGGCUACGAUGGGUAGCUGGUCUGAGAGGAUGACCAGUCACACUGGAACUGGAACACGGUCCAGACUCCUACGGGAGGCAGC
RNAcentral lists this ribosomal RNA (362 nucleotides) under uncultured bacterium. RNAcentral's name for it is "bacterial SSU rRNA". It matches the Rfam family "Bacterial small subunit ribosomal RNA", at positions 8 to 352 of the family's 1533-position model. The record is from RNAcentral.